RNAcentral lists this ribosomal RNA (258 nucleotides) under Ehrlichia sp. GJ005-02. RNAcentral's name for it is "partial 16S ribosomal RNA". It matches the Rfam family "Bacterial small subunit ribosomal RNA", at positions 202 to 463 of the family's 1533-position model. The record is from RNAcentral. Lineage: Bacteria; Pseudomonadati; Pseudomonadota; Alphaproteobacteria; Rickettsiales; Anaplasmataceae.
GGGCAAAUAUCGCUAUUAGGUGAGCCUGCGUUAGAUUAGCUAGUUGGUAAGGUAAAGGCUUACCAAGGCGAUGAUCUAUAGCUGGUCUGAGAGGACGAUCAGCCACACUGGAACUGAGAUACGGUCCAGACUCCUACGGGAGGCAGCAGUGGGGAAUAUUGGACAAUGGGCGAAAGCCUGAUCCAGCUAUGCCGCGUGAGUGAAGAAGGCCUUAGGGUUGUAAAACUCUUUCAGCAGGGAAGAAAUGGACGGUACAAA